This is a long non-coding RNA of Mesocricetus auratus (golden hamster), 1689 nucleotides long. RefSeq lists it as uncharacterized. The record is from RefSeq and is a predicted model, not a curated record. The transcript is spliced from 3 exons. Lineage: Eukaryota; Metazoa; Chordata; Mammalia; Rodentia; Cricetidae.
UAAGGCAAGGUUCACCUGAGGAGAGCGUUGAGUAUCCACAGGUUGGAGCUGACUCCGAACCGCCAGAGCAGUGAAAGGGAAGGAAAGGAGAGCAGAGAUUUUGAGUGACAUCCUCCACAGAAAGGAAGAAACACUCACCAUGGGACUGUGAGGCUCCUAUCUGAUCUCGAUGUGAAGGCACCUGUCAAACGCGCCAUUAUAUCUCUUUAGCGGAACCUGAGUGCUGCUCGGCGAUUAAAGGUCUCUCAUUUAACCUGGGGCUGCACUGAUUCGGACUGGCUGGCCAGAAAGCCAUAGGAACCCUCGGGCCUCUGCUUCUAUGGUUCCAGGAUUACAGGUAACACCCAUUGCAGACAUGUGGAAACCUGUGGCCAUUCAGGACUCUUGGCAUCCUCCUCAGUGUUUGCCUGCACAGACUGUGUGGUCUCUGGGCUGCUGUUAUCAUCGGAUCAUUCCUGCCGCUGUAGAAACGCUGACCACAUCUCCACCCCUUCUUGUGAAGAAGCCUUUGUGACUCAGAGAUAGUCCUGGCAGCUUUAUCCUCCGUCCUUCUUCUUCCUCCUCCAACCCCACUCCUGCUACUUUCAUCUUGCACGGCCAUUCCCCACUCUACCUCUGAGCCCAACGAAUGGCCUUCGUGGCUUAUCUGAGAAUGCCUAUUUCAGUUUAGUCCGAAGAUAUCUAAGAAGUAGGAAAUCACGUUUUAAUCUAAGCUCAAAAUAAAUGCCGAGUCAUGCGACGUAUCAGAAAAAAAUGCAUUUGAACAGAAGAAUUGAAGAUAUCAAAUAGAUUCGCAAAAGUACGUUUCUAACCCUGUUACUGAGACAGUAAAUUAUUUAUGCUUUGAAAGAUAUGCUAAUAAUGCUUCAUUUUGUUUUAUGUGUGUUUUCAAUAACAUGGAAGGACGCAUCUUGAUUUCUUGUGACACGAGAGUUUGCUCUCAGGGCCUGGCUCAAGCACUCCACCCCUGAUCUGUGUCACACUGCCUUCCUGUCACUUUCGAUAGCAAGACAGGGCUUCACUAACUUGUCAAGGUUGGUCUUGAAUUUGCAGUGGCAUGGGGCUUGUAGGCUGUGCCACCAGGCCCAGUAAACAACAGUUCAUAGCAAUCUUUUUCUCUUGGCUGAAUAAUGUAUCAGAGAUAUUUUCAUAUUGUUAAUCAUUCAUAUUAUCAGAAGUGACCGUAUAAUACUCCAAUUUGGCUAUGUUUAUAAUUUAUUCAGCAAAUGUCUUACUCAUCUCUGAUGCUCUGAUGGUUACCAUCAGAGCCUGAAUAUACAUAAAUACCUCUAGGAGAAUUACUAGACCAAAGAGUGCACAUAAUACUGAGGCUACAUGAGUGAAAUAUAGGGUCUGAUCUACUGGGAUGACUGAGAAUUAAAGUUAGUGGAAAAUAUAGAGAAAAUGUGACUCUUUGGGGAGAAUGAAAAAAAGCAUCAUUGAUGAAGGCAACCAUAUUGUAUUCAGGUAAGGGCAUAAGGAAGCCUCGACAGGAAACAAAAGCACCAGGGUCUGUACGGUGCUUCCGAAAUCUGCCCAGUCUCCUCCGUUACUUCCUCAAUUAAUAAAAACUGUCUUUGUCGAGUGGACAACUUCACUCUUCUCCAUACAGCUCUUGUGUGCUUCGCUGGUGAAAUUUUUCUAACUGAAAAAGAGGUGGCAAGCCCAGGAUCUUGGCUGAGGGAGAGA